AGGACGAACGCUGGCGGCGUGCUUAACACAUGCAAGUCGAGCGGUAAGGCCUCCUUCGGGGGGUACACGAGCGGCGAACGGGUGAGUAACACGUGGGUGACCUGCCCUCAGCUCUGGGAUAAGCCUGGGAAACCGGGUCUAAUACCGGAUGGGACUGCUUGCCGCAUGGUGGGUGGUGGAAAGUUUUUUCGGCUGGGGAUGGGCCCGCGGCCUAUCAGCUUGUUGGUGGGGUGAUGGCCUACCAAGGCGGUGGCGGGUA
RNAcentral lists this ribosomal RNA (259 nucleotides) under uncultured bacterium. RNAcentral describes it as "partial small subunit ribosomal RNA". It matches the Rfam family "Bacterial small subunit ribosomal RNA", at positions 26 to 285 of the family's 1533-position model. The record is from RNAcentral.